ACUUCGUCAGUUCUUUAUUGACAGCCGAGACGUGUAUCGUGUAUCGAUUUGUACCACGUGCCGGAAAGCGGUCCUUGUCGCCGCAGCUCUUGGUAUCGACCUCAACUUGAAAUACGUCAACAUGAUGGCCGGUGAGAACCGGAGUCCCGAGUUCCUCAAAAUGAAUCCACAACACGCGGUUCCCGUACUCGAUGACAAUGGAUUUUAUCUGUCGGAAAGUCGGGCAAUUUGCCAGUAUCUGGAUGAAAGACCUGACGAAGCGUGCAGUCGUUAAUCAGCGACUGUUCUUCGACCUGGCCACGCUUUAUCAGUCCUUCUUCGAUUGCUUCCUACGUCCAAUCUGACUGAAAGAACCCGCAGCUCCGAUCGAAGAGCUUCACGAGGCCCUGGCUCACCUCGAGAAUUUCCUCGAGAAACAGAACUCUACGUGGCUGAAGACAAUCUCACCAUAGCCGACAUUGUGCUUCAGUGCACGCUCUCCAACUUAUGGGUGUUCGAUUUCGACUUUAGCAAGUACCAGAAGGUCAGCAAGUGGUUUGCGCGGGUCAAGUCAGAAGUGCCAAAGUACAAGGAAAUCAACGAAGAGGGCUUGAAAAGCUACAAAAUACUUGAAGUAACCCAAGGUAGCGAAUAAAAUAACUCGUAGCGAAUAACUUAGAAUCUAGCUUUAUUUAAUAACUGGAGUUGAGAGGGCGAGAUAAACUAGACUUGUCUCGAGCUCGGCAGACGGUCGAAUGAAUAGCCGAAUGGUUACCUGUACAGUAGGUACCCAUGUAGGACCAACUAUACAUACAUGAUAUAGUUCGUUACUUGAAGAGCGUGAAUAUACAAAUUAGGAUAAAUAGUUAAUUGACUCUAUACAAUACAACAAUACUGAUAGAUCGCGUGAAAAGCAUGUAAACAGUUCUAUUAUAAUUUGCAAUUUUUUCAUUCGAAAUUUAAUUCCUGUGGUAAUUAAUCAAGUAUAUUAUAGCGUGUCUGGCUUUUUAUACAGAAUCUUGACCCUCUUAAGCAAAUAAAUAAUUAUCAAAUAAUAAUUACUCAUCAGUGUCUAAAUAAUAAUAUACAGAUAACUUCAACUAAUUUGAAAAGAGAAAGCGAGUUAUAUCGUCAGACACGUCAUCGACGUGAUCCUUAAAAAGUCAAUAAGCAUGACUUGCAAUGUUGCGCUGUAUGCCCACCUAGACCAUGACAGGCAAUCGCUUAUGGGCUCGAUCAUAACUGCCAAUCGCAGCAAAGAACCCCGCAAUGAAUUUCCGGAACUGUCAUUUGUAUUUGAAAAAAUUUCCAAAUAAAAUUCAAUCGUUUCAAACUGCA
Molecule: RNA transcript, 1317 nt
Organism: Nasonia vitripennis (jewel wasp)
Lineage: Eukaryota; Metazoa; Arthropoda; Insecta; Hymenoptera; Pteromalidae
Gene: GstD2
Gene name: glutathione S-transferase D2 pseudogene
Exons: 5
Source: RefSeq, marked validated